Long non-coding RNA from Mesocricetus auratus (golden hamster), 327 nucleotides. RefSeq lists it as uncharacterized. Lineage: Eukaryota; Metazoa; Chordata; Mammalia; Rodentia; Cricetidae. The record is from RefSeq and is a predicted model, not a curated record. The transcript has 3 exons.
UAGAGAGGAGUGGGCGUGGCGAAAGGUUUGGUCCUGCCUUGCCUAGUUCAGAACUCAUCCUGUGGCCCUUCAUAUCCGUUCCCAAGGCUCGUUCACGUUGCCUCCUUGCCUCUGGGUCAACUUUCAGCAAGCUGCUCAGGUUAAGGAGUCAGGGGCUCUCUUACAGAGAGAAACUUCUUCACCCAGGCUCAAGCAAAAUGGAAGGAAGGACGGAAAGAAGGAACGAAUGAACGAACGAACGGACAAUAAAUGUCUCAGUAGACGCUGCUGAUGAGAUUUCAGGACAUUUUCUACGUGCUGCUCCAUAAAGAAUUUAAAUGCCUGAGG